GAUGAACGCUGGCGGCGUGCCUAAUACAUGCAAGUCGAGCGAACAGACGAGGAGCUUGCUCCUCUUACGUUAGCGGCGGACGGGUGAGUAACACUUGGAUAACCUACCUAUAAGACUGGGAUAACUUCGGGAAACCGGAGCUAAUACCGGAUAAUAUUUUUAACCGCAUGGUUCAAUAGUGAAAGACGGUUUUGCUGUCACUUAUAGAUGGAUCCGCGCCGCAUUAGCUAGUUGGUAAGGUAACGGCUUACCAAGGCAACGAUGCGUAGCCGACCUGAGAGGGUGAUCGGCCACACUGGAACUGAGACACGGUCCAGACUCCUACGGGAGGCAGCAGUAGGGAAUCUUCCGCAAUGGGCGAAAGCCUGACGGAGCAACGCCGCGUGAGUGAUGAAGGUCUUCGGAUCGUAAAACUCUGUUAUUAGGGAAGAACAAAUGUGUAAGUAACUAUGCACGUCUUGACGGUACCUAAUCAGAAAGCCACGGCUAACUACGUG
Molecule: ribosomal RNA, 497 nt
Filed under: uncultured bacterium
Lineage: Bacteria
Description: partial 16S ribosomal RNA
Rfam family: Bacterial small subunit ribosomal RNA
Source: RNAcentral